UGUUCAUCAAUCGUUGAUUGUUUUCAACUAACCACAAAGAUACCGGAACACUAUACCUGCUAUUUGCCGCAUAGGCAGGGAUAGCAGGCACCGCCUUAAGCCUUCUAAUUCGAGCAGAAUUAGGCCAGCCGGGAACUCUGCUAGGAGAUGAUCAGAUCUACAAUGUUAUUGUUACCGCCCUCACAUCCGUUAUAAUCUUUUUUAUGGUAAUACCAAUCAUGAUUGGGGGUUUCGGCAACUGGCUAGUCCCUCUGGUAAUUGGUGCACCCAAUAUGGCAUUCCCCGAGAUAAAUAAUAUGAGCUUCUGACUUCUCCCCCAAUCUUUUCUACUCCUACUUGCAUCCUCAAUAGUAGAAGCCUGCGCUGGAACCGGCUGAACACUUUAUCCCCCUUUAGCAGGAAACCUAGCACAUUUAGGAGCCUCUGUGUAUCUGACCAUCUUCUCCCUCCACUUGGCAGGUGUUUCGUCUAUUUUAGGGGCCAUUAACUUCAUUACCACAAUUAUUAACAUAAAACCCCCAGCCUUAUCUCAGUAUCACACACCCCUUUUCGUCUGAUCAGUCCAUUAUGGCAGUCCUUCUACUCUUUCCCUCCCAGACCCAGCCGCCGGCAUUACUAUACUGUUAACUGACGGUAACCUCAACACUACUUUUUUUGACCCCGCUGGCGGGUGUGACCCUAUCUUGUACCAACAUUUAUUCUGAUUCUUUGGUCACCCUGAAGUCCAUAUCCUUAUCCUACCAGGCUUCAGGAUAAUCUCCCACAUCGUAACGUAUUUUCUGGAAAACAGGAAUCAUUUGGAUAUGGGCAUACUAUGAGCCAUGAUAUCAAUUGGUUUCUUAGGAUUUAUCGUAUGGGCUCACCAUAUAUUUACGGUAGGAACAGACAUAGACACACGGGCAUAAUUCACCUCUGCUACCAUAAUUAUUGCUAUCCCUACUGGCUUCAAGGUCUUUAGCUGAUUAGCUACACUGCACAGUGAUUACAUCAAACAAUCUCCCGAAAUAUUCUGAGCCCUAGGAUUCAUUUUCCUUUUCACAGUAGGAGGCUUAACCGGCAU
RNAcentral lists this long non-coding RNA (1060 nucleotides) under Homo sapiens (human). RNAcentral describes it as "non-protein coding lnc-TLE1-8:1". Lineage: Eukaryota; Metazoa; Chordata; Mammalia; Primates; Hominidae. The record is from RNAcentral.